UUUAACUCAUCCCUGAAAAUAUACUAAAAUUGUGACAAUGCAGAGAAAAUAACCAUGGCCCCUGAAAGAUGAAAACGUGCCUGUCUGACACUGAUAUUUUUCUU
This 104-nucleotide small nuclear RNA is filed under the name Ancylostoma duodenale. The record is from RNAcentral. Lineage: Eukaryota; Metazoa; Nematoda; Chromadorea; Rhabditida; Ancylostomatidae.